GGUGUCAGUGAUGAGACCACGGAACAAUGCGUCAGGCGUGGCGCCCGAAUCAGCAUGAGGAAACUGUCCAUGCUGCCUUCCUUCUGAGAACACG
Paramormyrops kingsleyae is the source of this 94-nucleotide small nucleolar RNA. Ensembl annotates it as small nucleolar RNA U83B. Its record names the gene SNORD83B. Lineage: Eukaryota; Metazoa; Chordata; Actinopteri; Osteoglossiformes; Mormyridae. The record is from Ensembl.